This 1408-nucleotide ribosomal RNA is filed under the name Rhizobium phaseoli. RNAcentral's name for it is "bacterial LSU rRNA". It matches the Rfam family "Bacterial large subunit ribosomal RNA", at positions 166 to 1728 of the family's 2925-position model. The record is from RNAcentral. Lineage: Bacteria; Pseudomonadati; Pseudomonadota; Alphaproteobacteria; Hyphomicrobiales; Rhizobiaceae.
AUAGGGUGUAAGAAGCGAACGCAGGGAACUGAAACAUCUAAGUACCUGCAGGAAAGGACAUCAACCGAGACUCCGCAAGUAGUGGCGAGCGAACGCGGACCAGGCCAGUGGCAAUUGUGAUUAAAGUGGAACGCUCUGGAAAGUGCGGCCGUAGUGGGUGACAGCCCCGUACGCGUAGAUAUCACGAUUGUCCUAGAGUAGGGCGGGACACGAGAAAUCCUGUCUGAACAUGGGGAGACCACUCUCCAAGCCUAAGUACUCGUGCAUGACCGAUAGCGAACAAGUACCGUGAGGGAAAGGUGAAAAGCACCCCGACAAGGGGAGUGAAAUAGAACCUGAAACCGGAUGCCUACAAACAGUCGGAGGGGGCAACCCUGACGGCGUACCUUUUGUAUAAUGGGUCAACGACUUAGUGUAACAAGCAAGCUUAAGCCGGUAGGUGUAGGCGCAGCGAAAGCGAGUCUGAAUAGGGCGAUAUAGUUUGUUGCAUUAGACCCGAAACCGAGUGAUCUAGCCAUGAGCAGGUUGAAGGUUGGGUAACACCAACUGGAGGACCGAACCCGCAUCUGUUGCAAUAGAUUGGGAUGACUUGUGGCUAGGGGUGAAAGGCCAAUCAAACUCGGAAAUAGCUGGUUCUCCGCGAAAUCUAUUUAGGUAGAGCGUCGAGCGAAUACCCCCGGGGGUAGAGCACUGGAUGGGCUAUGGGGACUCACCGUCUUACUGAUCCUAACCAAACUCCGAAUACCGGGGAGUACUACUCGGCAGACACACGGCGGGUGCUAACGUCCGUCGUGAAAAGGGCAACAACCCUAACCUCCAGCUAAGGUCCCCAAGUCAUGGCUAAGUGGGAAAGGAUGUGAGGAUCCCAAAACAACCAGGAUGUUGGCUUAGAAGCAGCCAUCAUUUAAAGAAAGCGUAACAGCUCACUGGUCUAAAUAAGGGUCUUUGCGCCGAAAAUGUAACGGGGCUGAAGCCAUGCACCGAAGCUGAGGAUUUGCAGUGAUGCAAGUGGUAGCGGAGCGUUCCGUAAGCUGAUGAAGGGAGACCCGUGAGGGCUCCUGGAGGUAUCGGAAGUGCGAAUGUUGACAUGAGUAACGAUAAAGAGGGUGAGAGACCCUCUCGCCGAAAGACCAAGGGUUCCUGCUUAAAGUUAAUCUGAGCAGGGUUAGCCGGCCCCUAAGACGAGGCGGACACGCGUAGUCGAUGGGAACCACGUUAAUAUUCGUGGGCCUGGUGGUAGUGACGGAUUGCACAAGUUGUUCUGGUUUAUUGGAUUAUCAGGGCAGCGGAGCGGUUCCAGGAAAUAGCUCCACCGUAUAGACCGUACCCGAAACCGACACAGGUGGUCAGGUAGAGUAUACCAAGGCGCUUGAGAGAACUAUGUUGAAGGAACUCGGCAAAUUGCACG